GAGAAAUAAAGGCCCAAAGGGUUCACCACUACUGAACGUCUUUUCUUUCUUCCUCGAGAAACAAGUACUCUAAUGGCGCCUCUGAGAGAUUAGGGUACGGGUGCUCGACCAGGCGGGCCCCCUUUGUUCCGGCAGCCCGGGGCGGCCGCCUCCCCCCCCGCUCAGGGCUGGCCUUCGAUGCUUGCCCGGCGCCGAGGUCAACGUUUAGUGCAGUCAUAAAUCGCCAAUCCAUCGAAGGCGGCGAUUCACAGAGCACAGCUGCAAGUGCGGAGCGAGCACGGCCGGCCGCAGGGCUGCGACGAUGGAAUCCCAAGUAUGAAGAGGAGACAAGCAUCGCACGAGGAGGAGAGGAGCAGCUGGACGUGAAGAUGGACGUGGAGCUGGACAAGGAGCUGGACAUGAAGAUAUCCCAUGGACGCGCGAGGGAGGAGCGGGAGGCAUGCGCGAGAGGAGAAGACGAAGUCCAGGCUGGCCCAGCACCCGGUCAGACCGGCCGCCACGCCGGCGCGCCCGGUCCCUGGCCCGAUCCAACCGGGCGGCCAGCCGGAUCCACCCUGGCGCCAACCGGACGCCACGCUGACAGCAACCGGACGGGUUACUGCGCCACAAUUUUAGAGCCCGGUUGCCACCCGGUCCCUGGCCCCGUUUGAACCGGCCAACCCGGUCCCAGGCCCGGUCGACCGGCCCCCAGACCGGCCGUGUCCGAGUCUGUCUCGACCAGAUCUAUUCUGGGUCGGUUAUUUUCGUACUUUUUCGACCUGAGGUCGUCCCGGACGCCUAUAUAAGUGCCCAGGAUGCUCCCCUAGCUGUUUUAGACCACGUUUAAGAUAAACCCUAGUUCUUAGUUGUUUGCUAUGCAAAACUAUUGAAUUCCCUACACCAUAUUGCUCGAUAUUGUGUAGAUCUGAAAGUCUUGUGUGA
This is a long non-coding RNA of Lolium perenne, 921 nucleotides long. RefSeq lists it as uncharacterized. The record is from RefSeq and is a predicted model, not a curated record. Lineage: Eukaryota; Viridiplantae; Streptophyta; Magnoliopsida; Poales; Poaceae.